UAUGGAGAGUUUGAUCCUGGCUCAGAGUGAACGCUGGCGGCGUGCCUAAUACAUGCAAGUCGAACGAUGAAGCUUCUAGCUUGCUAGAGUGCUGAUUAGUGGCGCACGGGUGAGUAACGCAUAGGUCAUGUGCCUCUUAGUUUGGGAUAGCCAUUGGAAACGAUGAUUAAUACCAGAUACUCCCUACGGGGGAAAGAUUUAUCGCUAAGAGAUCAGCCUAUGUCCUAUCAGCUUGUUGGUAAGGUAAUGGCUUACCAAGGCUAUGACGGGUAUCCGGCCUGAGAGGGUGAACGGACACACUGGAACUGAGACACGGUCCAGACUCCUACGGGAGGCAGCAGUAGGGAAUAUUGCUCAAUGGGGGAAACCCUGAAGCAGCAACGCCGCGUGGAGGAUGAAGGUUUUAGGAUUGUAAACUCCUUUUGUUAGAGAAGAUAAUGACGGUAUCUAACGAAUAAGCACCGGCUAACUCCGUGCCAGCAGCCGCGGUAAUACGGAGGGUGCAAGCGUUACUCGGAAUCACUGGGCGUAAAGAGCGCGUAGGCGGGAUAGUCAGUCAGGUGUGAAAUCCUAUGGCUUAACCAUAGAACUGCAUUUGAAACUACUAUUCUAGAGUGUGGGAGAGGUAGGUGGAAUUCUUGGUGUAGGGGUAAAAUCCGUAGAGAUCAAGAGGAAUACUCAUUGCGAAGGCGACCUGCUGGAACAUUACUGACGCUGAUUGCGCGAAAGCGUGGGGAGCAAACAGGAUUAGAUACCCUGGUAGUCCACGCCCUAAACGAUGGAUGCUAGUUGUUGGAGGGCUUAGUCUCUCCAGUAAUGCAGCUAACGCAUUAAGCAUCCCGCCUGGGGAGUACGGUCGCAAGAUUAAAACUCAAAGGAAUAGACGGGGACCCGCACAAGCGGUGGAGCAUGUGGUUUAAUUCGAAGAUACACGAAGAACCUUACCUAGGCUUGACAUUGAGAGAAUCCGCUAGAAAUAGUGGAGUGUCUAGCUUGCUAGACCUUGAAAAACAGGUGCUGCACGGCUGUCGUCAGCUCGUGUCGUGAGAUGUUGGGUUAAGUCCCGCAACGAGCGCAACCCCCUUUCUUAGUUGCUAACAGGUUAUGCUGAGAACUCUAAGGAUACUGCCUCCGUAAGGAGGAGGAAGGUGGGGACGACGUCAAGUCAUCAUGGCCCUUACGCCUAGGGCUACACACGUGCUACAAUGGGGUGCACAAAGAGAAGCAAUACUGUGAAGUGGAGCCAAUCUUCAAAACACCUCUCAGUUCGGAUUGUAGGCUGCAACUCGCCUGCAUGAAGCUGGAAUCGCUAGUAAUCGCAAAUCAGCCAUGUUGCGGUGAAUACGUUCCCGGGUCUUGUACUCACCGCCCGUCACACCAUGGGAGUUGUGUUUGCCUUAAGUCAGGAUGCUAAAUUGGCUACUGCCCACGGCACACACAGCGACUGGGGUGAAGUCGUAACAAGGUAACCGUAGGUGAACCUGCGGUUGGAUCACCUCCUUU
RNAcentral lists this ribosomal RNA (1503 nucleotides) under Helicobacter pylori. Its description in RNAcentral is "bacterial SSU rRNA". It matches the Rfam family "Bacterial small subunit ribosomal RNA". The record is from RNAcentral. Lineage: Bacteria; Pseudomonadati; Campylobacterota; Epsilonproteobacteria; Campylobacterales; Helicobacteraceae.